UUUCAUUCAUCUGCUAUGAUGCAUUCAUUCUAGAACUAACUGCUUCUACACAGAACACUCACCUAACCAGAGUCUGGACUAUCACUUGUCUUCGGUGAAAAUUUAUUGUCUAAUCAUAUCCAUCUAUUGUCUAAUCAUGUGUUUCUUCAUGUUCUACUGUUUCUUUAUUCAGGUGACUUGAGUUGGAGUUGGAGAGCCGACACAGAAGACGCAACCAGUAUCCCGGGAAGGUGGACAGGAGAUCAGACGUGUGACGGUACAAGACGUUCAUCACAAGCUCGUCCCAGAAAUGAAGAAACAAAGGAGAUUCUGGAGCCUCAGAGAGAAGGUUAAGGUUGAGGUUAAGGGUUUGUAACUGCACCUACACAUGCACACACAAACAUACAGACCAUACCCUUCACGGGCAGCACGGUGGCCUUGUGAUUAGCACUGUGGCCCCACAGAAAGAAGAUGCUGACAUCUUCUCGAUGUCUCCUUUCUUCUUUCCGUGUGGAGUUAACAUGUUCUCUUAGUGCUUGCGUGGGUUUUCUCCGGGUCCUCCGGUUUCCUCCCACACUAAAAAAAACAUGACACUUAGAAUUCAAAUAAAAGUAUUUGAAUAGAGUA
Long non-coding RNA from Lates calcarifer (barramundi perch), 606 nucleotides. RefSeq lists it as uncharacterized. The transcript is spliced from 2 exons. The record is from RefSeq and is a predicted model, not a curated record. Lineage: Eukaryota; Metazoa; Chordata; Actinopteri; Centropomidae.